CCUACGGGUGGCUGCAGUAGGGAAUAUUGGACAAUGGGCGAAAGCCUGAUCCAGCCAUGCCGCGUGAUAGAUGAAGGCCCUCUGGGUUGUAACUAUCUUUUAUCUGGGAAGAAACAAUCUUAUUCUUAAGAUCUUGACGGUACCAGAGGAAUAAGCACCGGCUAACUCCGUGCCAGCAGCCGCGGUAAUACGGAGGGUGCAGGAGUCACCCGGAUUCAAGGGUGCGUAGGCGUGCGGAUAAGUCAGUGGUGAAAGCUCCGAGCUUAACUUGGAAACUGCCAUUGAUACUGCCAGUCUUGAAUGUCGUAGAGGUAAGCGGAAUGUUGCAUGUAGCGGUGAAAUGCUUAGAUAUGUUACAGAACACCAAUUGCGAAGGCAGCUUACUAUGCGAUGAUUGACGCUGAGGCACGAAAGCGUGGGGAGCAAACAGGAUUAGAUACCCUAGUAGUC
This 450-nucleotide ribosomal RNA is filed under the name uncultured bacterium. Its description in RNAcentral is "partial 16S ribosomal RNA". It matches the Rfam family "Bacterial small subunit ribosomal RNA", at positions 338 to 795 of the family's 1533-position model. The record is from RNAcentral.